RNAcentral lists this ribosomal RNA (394 nucleotides) under uncultured bacterium. Its description in RNAcentral is "partial 16S ribosomal RNA". It matches the Rfam family "Bacterial small subunit ribosomal RNA", at positions 523 to 917 of the family's 1533-position model. The record is from RNAcentral.
CUACGUAGGGUGCAAGCGUUAAUCGGAAUUACUGGGCGUAAAGCGUGCGCAGGCGGUCGUGCAAUACAGAUGUGAAAUCCCCGGGCUCAACCUGGGAACUGCAUUUGUGACUACACGGCUAGAGUACGGUAGAGGGGGAUGGAAUUCCGCGUGUAGCAGUGAAAUGCGUAGAUAUGCGGAGGAACACCGAUGGCGAAGGCAAUCCCCUGGACCUGCACUGACGCUCAUGCACGAAAGCGUGGGGAGCAAACAGGAUUAGAUACCCUGGUAGUCCACGCCCUAAACGAUGUCAACUGGUUGUUGGGAGGGUUCCUUCUCAGUAACGAAGCUAACGCGUGAAGUUGACCGCCUGGGGAGUACGGCCGCAAGGUUGGAACUCAAAUGAAUUGACGGG